GUAGUGAUGCUGAAAUAGGUAUAGUAUCCAGUAUUGGGAACAGUAAUGUUGACUGAGAUAGGUGUACUAUCCAGACUGGGAACAGAAAUGAUGAUGACUAGUAUGGGUACACUGUUAGUGUACUGCUUGGUAUUUUUUAAUGUAUUUUAGAAUACUAAUGUAUGAAGUGGCUCCAGGAAAUUACAAUUGUCUGUAGAUACUCCAGCAUAGCACACAGUUAUCUGUAAAGUAAAUUGUACCAAGAU
Limulus polyphemus (Atlantic horseshoe crab) is the source of this 245-nucleotide long non-coding RNA. RefSeq lists it as uncharacterized. NCBI's taxonomy places the organism in Eukaryota, Metazoa, Arthropoda, Merostomata, Xiphosura, Limulidae. The record is from RefSeq and is a predicted model, not a curated record. The transcript is spliced from 2 exons.